GUUAAUCUAAUUAACAAGUUGACUUUAGGGUAUGAGGUUUGAAAGCUCCCCUAAAUCUUAUAGUUUGUAAGGUGAGUUUUGUAAGCUCCUUCUGAAUUCUAUCCAAAUUAAUUAAAUCUAUUUUAAAUUCAAAAAUAAUUAAAUAACUCAUCACUUAAAAUUAAAUCACAUUACAAUUCAGAGGAUAAGAGAGAGAAGAUGGUUCCUAAGUCAAGUUUUAAGUUAACUUAGUGUACUCAGAGCCUUGAUGCUAUUAUGUCUUACUCCUCCUUUGUCAUCAACAAAAAUUAUUGAAAAGAGUAAGAAAAGAUUGGAUAAAAAUAUGAGAAUAUAAACAUCAGAAGCACAUAGUGAAUUAGAGCUAGAUAAACAUUCAGAAGCACAUAGUAUAUCAAAUUCAAAAAAUAUUCAGAGGCAGUUAAAAAUAUCAGAAGCAAGGCAAAAAUUAAUAGGGUGUGCAAAUAUGUUUCUAAGGUUGUUGUUGCUUCUUCAUCAUUUCCAAGAUAACAUCUAUUUCAUCAUUGGUUUGAUGUUGCUUCUUUUCCAGUUCUACCUGCUCCUUAGCUAACUGAACUUGCUUCCUAAGAGAUUCCUCAUGGUGCUCCUGCAUCUUCCUUUCCAAUUCCUCUUGCUUUCUUAUAAGUUCUGUUUGGAUCUCAUUUUGAUGCUUUUGUACUAACGUAACUUCCAUUAGUUGAGCUUUCACAGCUUCUGUACUCAACUUUUGUUCCUUCAUAUCAACUUGCAUAUUAUCUUGAACGAGAACUACUUCAGGAUUUUGACUCUUAAGAAUUACUUUGUUCAGGAUUUGUAAAGAACUUCGAUAAUAAAGAGAUAGUUAGAGAGAGAGAGAGAGAGAAGAGAGAGAGAGAGAGAGUUAUCCUGGUUCCUUCCAAAAUUCGAAAGUAGUCUAGUCUCAUGUCAGUUACAGAAGUCUUUUCGCUAUAAUAACACAAGAUUACAAUUGCUCAAGCACACAAGCAAGACACUUAUAACAAACAAGAAUUACAAGGAAAUAAUUGUUUAGUUGUUCACAAUAGAAAACAUGUCAUACUCUAUACUUAGGAAUUUCUAAGACAUGAAAGUUUAUUAGAAAUUCUAAGUGUUUGAUGCUUAAAGAAUUUUGACAGAGUUUUGGCACUUGCAAAAUAUUAAAGAGUCUCUGCAUAUCUUCAAAUCUUCAUUCCUUUAUAUAGAGGUAGGAAAAAGAUGUUGUAGAGGUGUCAGCACAUCAAAGAGUCGUUAGAGAAGAUUGAUCAAUCAACAUUGAUUUGUCGCUUGAUUUGGUUGAUGUCCUAUGAAGGAAUAAUUUGAAAACCAUUCCUUGAUAGGGAAUUAACCGUUCCAAUCCAGUAGAGACACAAUUGUAGCUUGUACUAUGCACAUGAAGAUGUUGGAUUAGUGGUGGCAAUGGUUGUACUAUUGUACUAUUUGUCCUUCAAUGUCCUUUCUCUGAGAAUAAGCAUCCAAAGCUUUCUAAUUCUUCAGAACUAUCAUUGCGCCAGUCUUUUAUAUCCUUCUGCAUCUUUGUCUCUUCUGGAAGAUGAAUUCACUUGUUUUUUCCUUUUCUAUUUUUUUUUAUUUUCAAUUUCUUUUUUAAUUUAUUUAAUUUCGAAAAUGAUUAUGUUGAUUUUUUAAAUUUUGAAAAUGCCACUUAGGCGUUGACUUGGUCAAAAUUAAUCAAAAAGUCAAUAUUGCAAAGGGGCUAAAUCUCAGGGGGCCAAAUUUUCAUUUUUUCUAUUAGAGGGCCAAAAUCGCAACAUUGGCAAACUUAGGGGGUCAAAACUGUAGUUUAGCCUAGAAAAUAACACAGAUUUUAACUCUAAAUUAUCACUAACUCAGUAUCAUACUCUAAUAUAACACAUAAUUUAACCCUAAAUUAUCACUAACUCAGUAUCAUACCCUAAUAUGAUUAAUUUCUUCAUCAUGAAUUUCUAAUUCAACAAUUAUUUUAGCCUUCACCAAAUACAAGAUUUGAGAUAAACAUCACCUUUAACGGAGAGAUUCGGCGAAGGAAAGAGAGAUGGAGAAAGUGAUUCGUGCAGAGGAAGGAGGAAGGAGAUCGAGAGAGCUAAUCAGGGUAUGGAGAGAGAAUUACGGGCCGUCGGAGCAAAUGACGGAGAGAGAGCUAUUGGCCAUCGGAGAGUGAGAGAUGGAGAAAGCAGUUCGCAUGGAGAAAGAUGGAGAAAGUUCGCGUGGAGAAAGAUGGAGAAAGUUCGCGUGGAGAAAGAUGGAGAAAGUUUUUCUUUUUUAAUUGCCUUGCCUUGAUCUAUUUCUUAGGGUGUGUUUGGUAAAAAAAAAAGCUAUAAGCUAGCUGAUAGCUGAAAAGUUAGCUUAUAGUUGAUGGCUAAUAGCUGAUAGCUUAUAGCUGAAAAGUUAGC
Molecule: long non-coding RNA, 2381 nt
Filed under: Medicago truncatula (barrel medic)
Lineage: Eukaryota; Viridiplantae; Streptophyta; Magnoliopsida; Fabales; Fabaceae
Description: long non-coding RNA (MTRU_LNC004837)
Source: RNAcentral